GAGGAGCAUCAAGUGCUUAUACGGUACUGUCUUGACAUAUAUAUGUUCCGAUAAUAUCUAGGAAAAAUUGAUGUACACCUGAAAAAGGUGACAAAAUUGCUAUCUUGUGUGAACAACUGUUGGAGGCAAGUGGGCAACCCAGCUUCGAUGUUUUACAUGCCAGUUAGUUUUUCCCUUAAUGAUAUUGUAUGCGAUAGAGAUUGCCAAUUUGUAAAGCAUAGGCUUCUAUAUCUUUUCUAGCAAUAGCGUGCCAAUAUUUAUAGAAAUUCAAUUUUGUUGCUUAUGGUUAGAAUUGUAUUUUUCUAGAUAGGUGCAUUAAGAUAUAACUAAAUUUGCAUGUUUGUUUGUCAUGUUUGAUUAGCUGUAUGAAAUUGUGGAGUUGAUAUAUCCAUCAAUUGUUUUACAUGCUUUAGCUUUUUUUAGUUUGCAUUCUUUGGUAUGUUGAAUUGUAGAUGUGCCCAAAAG
Molecule: unclassified non-coding RNA, 465 nt
Filed under: Hevea brasiliensis (rubber tree)
Lineage: Eukaryota; Viridiplantae; Streptophyta; Magnoliopsida; Malpighiales; Euphorbiaceae
Source: RNAcentral